GCUGUGUUGUCCAGGCUAGCUUCAAACUCCUGGCCUCCCACGUCAGCUUCCCAAGUAGCUGGGAUUACAGGCACGAACAACCACACAUGGCUUUGCUUUAUCUAAUUAGCCUGCCUCAAGUAUUGCUGUACAUCUACCUCCAACUCUACCUAAAUGUGUUAAUAUCUAGUUCCCAUUUUUCCCUUUUAUUUUCAAUUACUUUAUGAGAUGUUUGUCAAAGAGAGUGAAGCAUAGUGUUUUAGACUGCAUUCCAGAGUCAAACGAUUUGAGUUUUAAUUUUUUAUUCUGUCUCUUGUUACCUGUGUAGUACUGGGCAUGUUACCUAGCCUCUUUGACCCUUGAUUUCCUAAUAAUUGUGCCUGUGAGAUAAUGAAUAUAAAUCACCUAUCACAUUGCCUAGAAUAUAAAAGAGUCCAUUAAAUGUUAACAGUAGCAGCUUUAGUCUUUGUUGUUGUUGGCCUACAGAAAUUAAAUAUAGUUUCUUGGGCUUUCCAUAUCUAAAAUACUUUUAAAUGUAUGUGCACACAUACAAAUAUAUACACAGCUAGUUUUUUGCCAUUUAUUCUUAGAGAUGGACACAGUAAAAACAUCUUUAUUUUUUAAGUCUCUGAAGCCAUCUGUCUAGAAUUUUGCUAGAUGAAAUAUCAAAGUUACCAUCUCUGAAAUCCAUAUGUUCUUAUUGAAGGCUUAAAAUUUGUUUUCUCUCUAGUCAUUUAUUAUCUUUUCAGGGGUCUGCAAUUUCUCAAAGAUUAAUAAUACUACUAGAUCUUUUAGUAACUACUUUGGUAUAUCUUUGAGCCUAGUUAAAAAUGAGACAUGGCAUGGGAGGCUGAAAGUAAAUGUGGGAAUUGUUUGGGUAUUUUACUUAGCCAUAGUUCUCAGAUGUUUGUUAGACAGAGACUAAAAUUGUCUGUAGCAAGGAAGAAAAGUAUUAUUUCUACUCAGUGUAGAAAUAGCUAAUAAAUAACUGCUAAAUGACAUAGGUACUGUAUAAGUACUAUAAAUAUAUAUCCAUAUUACAUAUAUUAUGUAUAAUACAUUUUAUUUAACCCCGUUAGCAACUUGAUAUCAGAAAGUUUCAUGUUGUUGCCUGUAUCUUUCUAGCAACAAAGUUACUACUUUGUAAUUUCACCAGUGAGGAAAUUGAGCAUCACACAUCUAAGUGGCACAAUCUGCAGAAUUUGAAUCCAGGUUUUUCUAACACCAAAACCAUGACCUUUUCACCUAAUAUAUGCUGCCUUCCUUUUCUUCCUACUAUUUGGUACUGAUGUGUAUAUUAAACUGAAACUACUAUUCUUUUCUUUCAUUUAUCCCUGGGAAGCUAAUAAAGGUCUGCUAUAUAAGAGAUUUCCAGAGUUAGAAUUGAUGAAGAUCAUGAGUGAAGUUGACAAAUUUCCCUAAAUAAGAAAAGUUUAGCAUUUUAGAAGUAUUAUAAAAUCAUAAAAUCUUAUGAUUGGAAGAGACCUUCUUGGCUGUGUGUUUGUUUACUGGCCAUGUAAUAAUCAUGUAUGUGGGAUUAUAUUAUAAGGAGGUAAUUGUAGUAUUUCUGUGUCUGGAAUACUUUGAGAUUUAAAAUUAAUUAUUGCCUUUAUCUGUUUUCUUCUUUACAACACAUUGUAUUUUAAAAAUUGCUUUUGUGUUUCUAUAAUCUAAUGGUUGCACAAACCUGAUGUAUGCAAAUAAGGAUGAACGGAGAACAAAUAGAGAUUUUAGAAUUCUUCCACAAGUAAGAGAUACCCUUGUGCCCUAGUUUAUAAUAGAAGGAUCCCAGUGACUUGUAUUAAAAUACUGAAAGGGAGUUUUGCACAUAAAAAAUAAGUACAAAUAGGCUGAUUUCAUAUUAAAUAAUUCUGCUUCAUUUUUUAUAAGAAUUUAUCUGAUCAUUGUUCAACAUUGGAUUCACAUUCUACAUUGGUUUUGUGAUCUUAGUAGUGUUAUAGUAUAAAAUGUAGUCAUCUAAUUAGAGUUUAAAUGAAUAUUUUCAAUAAGGUAAAGUUAAACAGAUUCCAUGUGACAGAAUAGACAGAUAUUUUUGUGUAAAUGGCAAACAGCGAAUUUCAAGUAAUGGCUAGUUCCUUAGACUGAUAUUGAGUAUCACUGUAAAGUACCUAAAGAAAAAAUUUUAAAACCCAGAGAAGAAAGAACGGACACUAACAUAUAUAUAUAUAUUAGAUCAUUUCAAUUUCCUCUUGGUAGAAGAGUAAAGUUCCAUGGGGGCAGGGAAUUUGUCAUGUUCUCCACUGUAUUUCUGUCACCUAGAGCAGGAUGCCACACAAGAUAGGUGUUCAGUAAGUAUUCGUGGAAAGGUUCUCUUGGCUUCACAUAUAAGUGUUCUACUAAAAAUGAUGGUAAUAUUUUUGCUUUUGAGUAGAUUAUAUUGAUAAUCAUUUUGGGGUUUUGGGUGAAUAGAAAUAUUUUAUGAUUUUUUUCCUCUAAAUUUCUAGACACUAUUAGCAAAAUAUUUUAUACAAAAGCUAAGAACAAAAUGUACAUAUUUGAGAUAACUAUACUAAGCACAUGCUUGUGUUUAUGCUCAUGUCUUCUUAUCUAGCAUUAGAAAAAUAUAGCUGUAACUGUAUAACAGCCUUUUAUAAAUUGCUAAAUGUCAAGUAAGUGUUGGUUUGAUUUACUUUCCCAGAUUAGGCUCAAAUCUUUGUGUUUAUAUAUAAUUGUAUGUGAAUAUAUUGGUGACAAGGGAAAUUAUUUUGGUUAUCAAAUAUUAGAAAGUUUCAUGUUGUUGUCUGUAUCUUUCUAGCAACAAAGUUACUACUUUCUAAUAAAUCAGAUCUUUUCUUUGACGUGAAUUAAUCCCUUAAGCCACUAAUCCAACAUUUCUCAGAAGUGUCAACUGUGGACAGUUUACAUCAUAUUCACUGGUAGAGCUUAUUUGAAUUAUAGAUUCUCAACAACUACCUAAACCUUCAAAAUCAGAAUAUCUGGGAUGUGAUUCUCUGAAACUUGAAUUUUUGACCAGCUCUAUAGGUGAUUUCUCUGCACUCAGAAGUUUGAGAAUCAUUGUAUGAAACUUUGCUGGAAAUGUCUCUUCCCUGAAGAGAGACUGGAUCCUGAAAGCUCUGCAGAAAGAGUCCUUUACCACAAGCUCUCUGUCCUGCUAAAUCAAGAAAGUAGUCAGUCUUAAGACACUGAUUAUGUCAAUUUGAAUUAGAACCAAAUGUAUACUGUUUUCUAAAGCUGUUAGACUGGAACAAAACAGGAACAUCAAAGUUGCUUACUAGACUAAUCCUCAUAGGAAACAAAAUUACACUCAGUUCCAGUUUCUGACAACAUCCGGGAAAAUGCCUCAGCUGCUUUCAUUGAGGAUUGUCAAUGCCAAACAAGGAAAGCCCGGUGGGGAGCCAGACACUGUAGAACUGAGCUGCCUAGAGAAACAAAAAAAAGUGCCACUUAUUCCAGGUCUACAAUAGCAGAGCUUUCUCUGGUGCUAUCAAAAUUUCAGCCUAAACGUGCCGUGUGUGUGUUUGUGUGUGUGUGUGUGUGUGUGUGUGUGUGUGAGUGAUCAUGUCCUGACUCUAUGAUCAAGUCCUCUCUUCAGCCAUGAUCCACUUUGAUUUUUUUGCCAUCUGCACAAGGCCACUACUGUAUUUGACCUGCCUAAAUGCCCUUGCUCCCCAUCUCCCCAUUUCAUAGAGUAGUUACCAUUUCAUAUAUUGAUUUACAUUCAUCUCACUUCUCUAUCAUCAACUACAAACUGAUCUUGAGUUCAGGGCUUAAAUUAGGCACUCUUGCUUACUAGUUCCUCAAAAGUCAGUUUAAGAAAAUGUGAUUUCACAUAUGCACAUUCUAUGUGAAUAUGUUUGUAUCAGAGAGGUAAAUGGUAAUGCUGGAAUUAAUUUUCCAGAAGUAAUUAUGAGUGUUUAUUGAUGCAUCCAUGUUGUAAUGUCUAGCCCUCAUUAAAUUCAAGGGCAUUCUAAAAUACAGUGGUUAGUAAGAGGAUAAAGCAUACUAAUUAAUUUGUACAUAAAUUAAAUCCAUGACUUCAUUGGCAUUGUCCCCUAGCCAAGCUAACUAGCCACAGAAGUUGGAUUUUGCAUCUAUUUGUCUCGUUUUCUUAAUCAAAAGUGUUUAAGACUAUAAAAUGCUCUUACUUACUAUGUGCAACUCCUGCAAAUACCAUGUUAAUUUGUGAGUACCUCCACAAUCACAAAUUAAAACAUGAAGUAAGAAAAUAGAUGCUUGGCACUAUUGGAAAAUGAUAGUUGGUUAAGCGGAGAUUUAUUGCAUUCAUAUAUGAGAGGAAGAAUUUGACAACUUAAUGAAUUUGUCUUUUCUCUUACCUAAGUGCUUUCAUCACUUAAAUGUUCCUGAAGCUCCAAAGCAGUAUCUUUCUCUGUCUUUAGUAGCAGCACAACCCAUAGUCCUUCAGAAUAUUCUGACACUGACCCCCUUUUGAGGACACAGAGCAACAGCUGUGGAGAAGCAUUUCCUUGGGGCUUGAAGAUGUUACUUGUGAAAGUAGAUGUUUAGAGUUAGUCUGAGGGCCAGAUCUCAGUGGCAGAAGGCAGCCAUGUGUUCUUUAAUAAAUUUAAUUUGGGUUAUUUGUGAUAGCGAGGGCCCUCUGAAACACAGGGUCUGUGGCGGUGUCCACUCUUUCUUGGCCCUAAGGGUGGUCCUGCUUGAGUAUGCAGUCACAGGAGCAGGGUAUGCUGAGACAUAAAAGUUAUGCAUAUAAUCUCAACCAGAUUAUUAUUAUUAAAGUAUCAUUUGUGUACCAGAUAAAAUACCAAAACUUAUUACUGGGUAGGUAGCUCUCACAAAUCUCUGCAGCUAGUUUAUAUGUUUGAGUGACAGCAGACUAUUAAAGGAUAUGAACAAAUAGCAUUGCAAAUUAAAAUUGUGCUGUUCAUAAACAAGUAACCUCCACUGUGCUUCUAAGCAUCUUGGAGUUAUUCUUUUCUUGGUUGUAGCCAAGUUAACAUUUAGUAAUCAUUGUUUAACAUUUAGUACUUCUGAGCAAUGAACUAAGUGUAUUUUUAUCUUAUUUCUAGAAUAGGAAGUAGAAAAGGAAGUAGAAGAAGUUUUCAGUUUAGUAUUGACUCUCAGUCAACAAAUAGGUAAUAGCUAUUUCACAUGAUUUUCUGGUAUUUGCCUCCUGUAGCAUUGUUUUCAAACUCAUUUCCCAAGGUCCUGAGAUAAGGGAGAGGAACUGGAUAUCUGGGCAAUUUUUUUUCUCUGCCAGUAUUGUCAUAGCUGUGACAUAUUUUAUGUUUAAAACUGAUGUAAUAGUCAGGUAAUAUUGUAGUAUAUAACAGGGACCCUUAUGUAAUGUGUGAAAAUAGUAAAAUUAUAUUUAUUCAACAGAAUAUUGCCAUUUAUAUUGUACUUGACUCUAUGUAAAACAUUAAUAAGAUUUCCAGUAAGUGCUUUAAGAUCAGUUUGUGCUUAAAUGAGUGCUUAGAGACUAGUUCUCCAAAGAGAUUUUAUCAAGCAUUUAUAGAAAAUUUUAUCAAGCAUUUAUAGAAAACCUGCAUAAUACGCUCGGUGAGAGGUGGAGGAGCAGCGCUGCCCAAGCUGCACACAGCUACGCGCUCCUUCCCGCUCCUCCAUGUCGGCCUCAGCCCGCUCACCGGCUAUAGAAAAUGGUGAAAGAAGCCACUUACUAUGAUGUUUUGGGGGUCGAACCCAAUGCCACUCAUGAAGAGUUGAAAAAGGCUUAUAGGAAACUGGCCUUGAAGUACCACCCUGAUAAGAAUCCAAAUGAAGGACAAAAGUUUAAACAGAUUUCUCAAGCUUACGAAGUUCUCUCUGAUGCAAAGAAAAGGGAACUAUAUGACAAAGGAGGAGAACAGGCAAUUAAAGAAGGUGGAGCAGGUGGCGGUUUUGGCUCCCCCAUGGACAUCUUUGAUAUGUUCUUUUGGAGGAAGAGGAAGGAUGCAAAGAGAAAGGAGAGGUAAAAAUGUUGUACAUCAGCUCUCAGUAACCUUAGAAGAUUUAUAUAAUGGUGCAACAAGAAAACUGGCUCUGCAAAAGAAUGUGAUUUGUGACAAAUGUGAAGGCCGAGGUGGUAAGAAAGGAGCAGUAGAGUGCUUUCCCAAUUGCCGAGGUACUGGAAUGCAAAUAAGGAUUCAUCAGAUAGGACCUGGAAUGGUCCAGCAAAUUCAAUCAGUGUGCAUGGAGUGCCAGGGCCAUGGGGAACGGAUCAGUCCUAAAGAUAGAUGUAAAAACUGCAAUGGAAGGAAGAUAGUUCAAGAAAAGAAGAUUCUAGAAGUUCAUAUUGGCAAAGGCAUGAAAGAUGGCCAGAAGAUAACAUUCCAUGGUGAAGGAGACCAAGAACCAGGAGUAGAGCCAGGAGAUAUUAUCAUUGUGUUAGAUCAGAAGGACCAUGCUGUUUUUACUAGAUGAGGAGAAGACCUUUUCAUGUGUAUGCUUCCAAAAGCCAAUAUCUACUCUUGACAACUGAACCAUAGUCAUCACCUCUCAUCCAGGUCAAAUUGUCAAGCAUGGAGAUAUCAAGUGUGUGCUAAAUGAAGGCAUGCCAAUUUAUCGUAGACCAUAUGAAAAGGGUCACCUAAUCAUUGAAUUUAAGGUAAAUUUUCCUGAAAAUGGCUUUCUUUCUCCUGAUAAACUGUCUUUGCUGGAAAAACUCCUACCCAAGAGGAAAGAAGUAGAAGAGACUGAUGAAUGGAUCAAGUAGAACUUGGUUCUACUUUGGACUUGGUUCCAAAGCAAGAGAGAAGGCACCAUUACAAUGGAAAAGCAUAUGAGGAUGAUGAACAUCAUCCCAGAGGUGGUGUUCACUGUCAAACCUCUUAAUGAGACCAGUGAAUGAGACUCACUGCUGACAUUUUAUAUGCAGUAGUGAAUGAAUGAAGGACUAUAAUCAUAAUACGCUCACUACUUGCUAUUGUUUUUCUUAUAAUAUUCAACUAUAGUAGUGUUUUAAAAGUUAAAUGAAUAAACACAAAUAUAAAAGCUGACUUUGCCCUGUAUGUAUGAUGACUUCAGUGUGCAAGGUGAAGUUUAAUACCUGUAAAAAUUACUUUAAGAAAAAGUUCUCCUAGCAUUUGUUAGGCUAAAGCUUGUAAUUGAUUUCAGCUAUGUACGUGGACAAGCUUAGACUGAAAUGCUAGGUGUAUGUAUUGGCUUCAUUAUGACCCUUCACUGUUAAACUACGAAAUUAAAACUCUGUUUUUAACUGGCAAUCAGAAAAAGAAAACUUAAAUUUGUAGAGAUGUGUUGGUCUGUAUAGUUAAUUUGUAUUAGGUGUGAUUCAUUGUAAUGCCUCUGAAUUUAUUUUGCCUCAGCUGUUACUUGAAGAUGGCAUACUACAUAAUUUAGCCUGUGGUAUCAGUGAUAGAAAAGAUGCUUUUCAAAAGAAGGGGUUUAUCAUAAUAUGCUGCUUCUUGAGGGCUUGCACUUCUAGAAUUGCAUUCCCUCUGUGCCAUCCAUGUAUGAUAUAUCCAUAUAUGUGUAACUUGACCAGUUUUGGUUAUUUUUCCCUCUUCUCUUUGGACCACGAUAACCCCCCCUGAGUAUUAACUUCCAGAAGUGGAUAAUUUAGAAGUGAAGAGACCGUUACAUGGAGAGGUAAUUUGCAUGCAUAAUAUAGGAAGGUCUUCUGUAGGUAUGUUACAGGCUUACUUUAAACCAUUUGACUUAUGCACUAAAGUAACUGUAAUUCAAUGUUGGUAGUAUAGCAAACGAUGAAUAGCUUUAAUUGUAUAUUUAAAAGUCUCAUUGAUGUGUUCACAUGCUUAAAUCUGGGUAUCAGAAUAUAAGCAGUUCUUGAAAUGUA
Microcebus murinus (gray mouse lemur) is the source of this 7753-nucleotide non-coding RNA. The record is from RefSeq and is a predicted model, not a curated record. Lineage: Eukaryota; Metazoa; Chordata; Mammalia; Primates; Cheirogaleidae.